UGGGGAAUAUUGCACAAUGGGCGCAAGCCUGAUGCAGCCAUGCCGCGUGUAUGAAGAAGGCCUUCGGGUUGUAAAGUACUUUCAGUCGGGAGGAAGGUGGUAAGGUUAAUAACCUUGGCAAUUGACGUUACCGACAGAAGAAGCACCGGCUAACUCCGUGCCAGCAGCCGCGGUAAUACGGAGGGUGCAAGCGUUAAUCGGAAUUACUGGGCGUAAAGCGCACGCAGGCGGUUGAUUGAGUCAGAUGUGAAAUCCCCGGGCUUAACCCGGGAAUUGCAUCUGAUACUGGCAAGCUUGAGUCUCGUAGAGGGGGGUAGAAUUCCAGGUGUAGCGAUGAAAUGCGUAGAGAUCUGGAGGAAUACCGGUGGCGAAGGCGGCCCCCUGGACGAAGACUGACGCUCAGGUGCGAAAGCGUGGGGAGCAAACAGG
Molecule: ribosomal RNA, 429 nt
Filed under: Chloroflexota bacterium
Lineage: Bacteria; Bacillati; Chloroflexota
Description: Chloroflexi bacterium partial 16S ribosomal RNA
Rfam family: Bacterial small subunit ribosomal RNA
Source: RNAcentral